CUGAGUACAACGGGCAGUACAGCCUAUUCUACAGGUGUUCUGUAUUUGACUUCACUUUUAUGAUCAGAGUGUAUUUAGGACCAGGUUAGAUUACUUACUGUCCGUACAUCUGUAUGAAUAUCUGGCUGCAUAAUUGAAUGAACUGAAUGAGGAUGAGCAGCCACUGAAAGAUGUGUCAUUUACCUGUUUGUUUAGCUCUCUGCUGAUGCAUCUCCGCUGUAGGCUCCUCCACGUGCAAGCAGCUACAGCUUCAGGGAGCUCCGGGAAGCUUUGCUCCCUUGCAAUAGCUAAGGAUCUGGCCCACAAUAGCUGCAUGACUCGCCAGGACAUCCUGUUUCCUUUGAAGACAACAGGAAUGGCUCUGUUCAGACAGAUUGGUUGUGAACUUGCAGAUUAGUUAGAGCACUCUCCCAGGAAGAGGGACACCCAGGUUUUAACCUCAAAGACUACGAACAUGAGAUUCCAGCUUCCUAGGAAAAUAUCCAAACCUCAGGCUGGGAACUAAGAGCUGGGAGAUGGAGGAACGACCUAUUGAAUCAGGGUGAAGGUACUUUCUGUGGUAGUCCUGGCCUAAAGGGAUUCAGUUGCCCUUCACUCUUCUCUACAUACCUGCACCUUUCAUGGGACUGAGAGUGCAAUUCUUGUGCAGAGGUUCAGAAGUGACAGAGAUAAGCUCAGAGCCCGAAAGUGGCGAGGUUUCUGUAAACCUAGCAGGAGUAUGAGCUAGUCUUUAUAAAAGACGAUGGUGUGAGCUGGUGUAAAUCCUACUACAUGCUCUGGGAUAAGCCCUCAGCAGGGGUAAGAGUACUGUCAUAAGGCUCACCAAAAGCAUAACAACGGAGUCAUAGAUCCUGUCAUGAAUUCCCUGUUCCCUUGCAAGGCUCCCUUUAUGAAGUGAGUCAUUUUUUUAAUUGCAUAAUCAUUACACAGAUUAGGACUGCACUUUUAGGUGUUGUAGUCUUAUAAUAAUUAAAAACAAAAUUGUCUUUCAACUUUUAGAACAUAUAUGCAAAAGUUUAGAUUUGUUGUUAGCAAAAGCAUUUAUUUUAGCCUAAUUAUCCUACUGUAUUACUGUUGAUGAAAUACAAUGCUUGUUUCAAUUUCCUUAGCUUGAAGAUUAAUGUUAAAUAAUUAAUUUUGUAAACUGAACUGGAUUUGAUAUUCCGAGCUUGGAUCCUCCAGAUUGCUGCUCUUUCUUCACAUUUCAUGUUGUAUCUCAUUGGUCUCGGUGGUGUUCUCUCUGUUUUGUUAAUUAUGUUUUGUUUGUUUUAACACGCCACUCUGCAGUGUGGUAUGUGAGUAUGUGGGUGUGUAUCAGAGCUUUACCCGGUAUACAUAUUAAAAUACAGUUUUGCUACAUCUUGCCAAAGCGUUCUCUUCCUGAAACAGCCUGAGUU
This 1397-nucleotide long non-coding RNA is filed under the name Struthio camelus australis. RNAcentral describes it as "lncRNA (ENSSCUG00000007552.1)". The record is from RNAcentral. Lineage: Eukaryota; Metazoa; Chordata; Aves; Struthioniformes; Struthionidae.